CCGUGCUAGGUGGGGAGCCAGCGGUGCCCUGUACCCGCAAUCCGCUUUAGCGGGGCUGAAUUCCCACCCUAGGAGCGGGUCUGUGAGGUCUGACACUGGUGUGUGGUGUUGACGGCCAGGUCCUGCGCAAUGGAAAUCCGUGAACCGGGUCAGGACCGGGAGGUAGCAGCCCUAAGCGGAAUCUUUCAUGUGCCGCGGGGUAGCUUGGCCUGAGCCGGCUGCCGGUGGGCGCUCGGAGGUCUGCCUUCGAAGGUGGGUGCACGG
RNAcentral lists this signal recognition particle RNA (264 nucleotides) under Actinobacteria bacterium RBG_16_64_13. Its description in RNAcentral is "signal recognition particle sRNA large type". It matches the Rfam family "Bacterial large signal recognition particle RNA". From Rfam's summary of the family: The signal recognition particle (SRP) is a universally conserved ribonucleoprotein involved in the co-translational targeting of proteins to membranes. Archaeal SRP consists of a 7S RNA and homologues of the eukaryotic SRP19 and SRP54 proteins. The record is from RNAcentral. Lineage: Bacteria; Bacillati; Actinomycetota.